UACAGAGGGUGCGAGCGUUGUCCGGAAUCACUGGGCGUAAAGGGCGCGUAGGCGGCCUGGUAAGUAGGGGGUGAAAUCCUGCGGCUCAACCGCAGGGCUGCCUCCUAAACUGUCAGGCUGGAGCACGGUAGAGGCAGAUGGAAUUCCCGGUGUAGCGGUGGAAUGCGUAGAGAUCGGGAAGAACACCAGUGGCGAAGGCGGUCUGCUGGGCCGUUGCUGACGCUGAGGCGCGACAGCGUGGGGAGCAAACAGG
Molecule: ribosomal RNA, 253 nt
Filed under: uncultured bacterium
Lineage: Bacteria
Description: partial 16S ribosomal RNA
Rfam family: Bacterial small subunit ribosomal RNA
Source: RNAcentral